This is a long non-coding RNA of Homo sapiens (human), 1311 nucleotides long. Ensembl annotates it as long intergenic non-protein coding RNA 1035. NCBI's taxonomy places the organism in Eukaryota, Metazoa, Chordata, Mammalia, Primates, Hominidae. The record is from Ensembl.
CUUCAGCUUUGGGACUCCAGGACUCUUUGGGACUCUUCAACCACAGACUGAAGGCUGCACUGUCGGCUUCCCUAUUUUUGAGGUUUUGGGACUCAAACUGGCUUUCUUGCUCCUCAGCUUGCAGACGGCCUAUUGUGGGACUUCACCUUGUGAUCAUGACAAAGCCAUCUUUGGUGAAGAUAAAUAAGAAACACCUGUUCUUUAUACUAUGUCAGCCAGUAUGAUGUUGGUGUGGGGAUAAGAAAAGCAGACAUUGUUAAUGAAACUAUUACAAGCUUUUUACGUAAAUGUCUUCCAAGGUAGAUGUGCAGCUGACUUCAAUGUGUAAUUAACAAAUAACCGGGGUGACAUCGAUAGAAAGCCAAAAGUAUAUACUUCAUUGAUAAAACUAUUGAUUAACCAAGAGUAUCAACUGAUAUUCUCGAUUUUCAGGAGUAAAUAAAUGACAUCUCAAUAUAGACAAGAAUUGCCCCCCUGGGGUCCUCUUGGCUUCUCUCUCCUGUCGUGGAACCAUGCCUCACAAAGCAAGGGCUGUUGGCCCAGAGUACUCUCUGCUUACUGCAUGAAAGAAGAACCUCUGAUUCAUGCAUGAGGCUGGAUGAAUGAAAGGAGCCCAUAGCUCUCCAUCAUACUCCCCUGAAACAUAGCCUCAGCAACAAGCUUCUAAGGGCAGAACGAGAAAUGAUGAAGCCCCGCUCCUCCUGGGAAGCAGAAAACUACAGCUGAAAGAUGGGGAGGAGUUUUGGAAUUUUCACCACUUACCAGUUAUUUUGGAGAGCUGAUCAGUAGAACGCCUCAUGCUGUCAUCAUAGAAGUUGAUCAAAGUAUUGUUUUCUUUCAGUCCACUAAUUAUAUUUUGUCCUCAAAUUAUAUUCUACCAAAAUUCUGUUUCACCAUAGUCCAAGUAUUUUAAAAAGUUUUCUUGCCCUGUUCUUAUUAUGCAAAACGUAAGAACUAUCCUUUUCCACCAUCUCUUUGAAAAAUCAAAUAUAAAACUGAAACACAAUUCUGUUCCUUUCAUGGUAAUCUUUUCUAUAGUACUCUAUUUUCUGCUCAUUGCUGACAGUAAUGACCACAUAUUACAUUUCAAAUAUGUAUCUAGUUUUCCUAAUCCCUUAUCAAAUAUAUAUUUAUGAAUUGCAGUGGCAGUAUAAACACUUCCAUCUAUAUCUUCAUAUGUAGAAAGCACAGUUUCUUGCACAGGAGAGACGCAAUAAGUAUAGUGUCUAUUAUGACCACAUUUAUAAGUCAAAAAGGAGUUUGAAAUGUUUCUACUUAAAAAGUCCUCCUUUUUCAAAAAUUCUGUGAGAC